This 504-nucleotide ribosomal RNA is filed under the name Triticum aestivum (bread wheat). Its description in RNAcentral is "partial small subunit ribosomal RNA". The record is from RNAcentral. Lineage: Eukaryota; Viridiplantae; Streptophyta; Magnoliopsida; Poales; Poaceae.
AUGCACGAGACCGGCCAAUACGCGCGACGUGGUCAGCGUGAGCACCGUGCACGGGCGCACCCCCCGCACGAGCCGUCUUCUGAUCCCGCGAGCACACGCCGCGAUCUCGACUCAAGCAAGGCAGCGAGACGAGACCAAACCAUGGCGGCCAACCACCACCUCCGCCGCCUCGCCUCCGCGUCCGCCCCUGCUCUCUCCCGCCUCUCCAAGCCCACUCCCUCGCCGCUCCUCCGCCCCGCGUUCUCCAGUUCCGCCUCUCCCGCGGGUCAGCCGGCGGCGGCGGCGGGGGCCGAUGCAGCCGAGAAGGGCGAGGCCCGGAGCGCCGUGAAGGAGGCGGGCGAGGCGCAGGGCGGCGAUGCUGGCGCGAGGAAGACGGGGGAGGAGGAGGAGGAUGACGGCGGCCUGGACAUAAACGAGGCCACGGGCGAGAUCGGCGGCCCGCACGGGCCGGAGCCCACCCGCUACGGCGACUGGGAGCGCGGCGGCCGCUGCUCCGACUUCUGA